This 251-nucleotide ribosomal RNA is filed under the name uncultured bacterium. RNAcentral's name for it is "partial 16S ribosomal RNA". It matches the Rfam family "Bacterial small subunit ribosomal RNA", at positions 85 to 339 of the family's 1533-position model. The record is from RNAcentral.
UUGGUGGCGAGUGGCGGACGGGUGAGUAAUGCGCAGGAAUAUGCCUUAAAGUGGGGGACAACUUGGGGAAACUCAAGCUAAUACCGCGUAAUCUCUGAGGAGAGAAGCUGGGGACUUUCGAGCCUGGCGCUUUAAGAUUAGCCUGCGUCCGAUUAGCUAGUUGGUAGGGUAAAGGCCUACCAAGGCCACGAUCGGUAGCUGGUCUGAGAGGAUGACCAGCCACACUGGGACUGAGACACGGCCCAGACUCC